CGUCGCUGCGUCACGGCUCGCUGAGCGGAAGUCACUCUGACGCGCUUGUUGACAGGUUCCGGCCCGCGCUCUUCCGCUCUGCUGUGCGCCUCAGUGUCAGAUUGCGAUUAUUAGUUAUCGAUUAUUGGCAUAUCAAUCUGUAACAUCGACGACUGCAGCCGCAGCUGGACCCGACCGCAGCGCUGAACAUGAUAAAAGCCAUUCUGAUCUUUAAUAAUCAUGGCAAACCACGAAUGUCAAAAUUCUACGAGCAUUACACCGAAGACACAGAACAGCAGAUCAUCAGAGAAACCUUUCAUCUGGUUUCCAAACGAGACGAGAACAUUUGCAACUUCCUUGAGGGCGGACUGUUAAUCGGCGGCUCGGACAACAAGCUGAUCUACAGACACUACGCCACGCUUUACUUUGUAUUCUGCGUGGAUUCGUCCGAGAGCGAGCUGGGCAUUCUGGAUCUGAUCCAGGUGUUCGUGGAGACGCUGGACAAGUGCUUCGAGAACGUGUGUGAGCUGGACCUGAUCUUUCACGUGGAUAAGGUGCACAACAUCCUAGCGGAGAUGGUGAUGGGCGGCAUGGUGCUGGAGACCAACAUGAGCGAGAUCAUCACGCAGGUGGAGGCGCAGGGCAAGAUGGAGAAGUCUGAGGCCGGGAUCGCGGGGGCUCCGGCACGCGCCGUGUCAGCCGUCAAGAACAUGAACCUCCCAGAGAUGCCCAAGAACAUCAACAUCGGGGACAUCAGCAUCAAAGUGCCAAACCUGCCGUCUUUCAAAUAGUGAACGCUGCACGCCUCUGAAACUGUGUUUACCAGAAUCACACAGAUCUUGUGUUGCAUCACAGACGAUGAAGGAACUGUGUGAUGCUGUCAAUGAAGUAUUUGAUUCUUCUGUCCUCUGGGUGUCUCGCUGCCGUGUUGGAGGUCACGCGCGUGCGUGUGUGUGUGUGUGUGAGUGUGUGUGUGAGUGUGUGUGAGUGUGUGUGA
Molecule: RNA transcript, 976 nt
Organism: Sinocyclocheilus grahami
Lineage: Eukaryota; Metazoa; Chordata; Actinopteri; Cypriniformes; Cyprinidae
Gene name: AP-3 complex subunit sigma-1
Exons: 8
Source: RefSeq, a predicted model, not a curated record